CCUACGGGUGGCAGCAGUGAGGAAUAUUGGUCAAUGGGCGCGAGCCUGAACCAGCCAAGUAGCGUGAAGGAUGACUGCCCUACGGGUCGUAAACGUCUUUUAUAAAGGAAUAAAGUGAGGCACGGGUGCCCUUAUGUGUGUACCUUAUGAAUAAGGAUCGGCUAACUCCGUGCCAGCAGCCGCGGUAAUACGGAGGAUACGAGCGUUAUCCGGAUUUAUUGGGUUUAAAGGGAGCGUAGAUGGGUUGUUAAGUCAGUUGUCAAAGUUUGCGGCUCAACCGUCAAAUUGCAAUUGAUACUGGCAGUCUUGAGUACGGUUGAGGUAGGCGGAAUUCGUGGUGUAGCGGUGAAAUGCUUAGAUAUCGCGAAGAACUCCGAUUGCGAAGGCAGCUUACUAGACUGCCACUGACAUUGAUGCUCGAAAGUGUGGGUAUCAAACAGGAUUAGAUACCCGUGUAGUC
RNAcentral lists this ribosomal RNA (460 nucleotides) under uncultured bacterium. RNAcentral describes it as "partial 16S ribosomal RNA". It matches the Rfam family "Bacterial small subunit ribosomal RNA", at positions 338 to 795 of the family's 1533-position model. The record is from RNAcentral.